RNAcentral lists this small RNA (596 nucleotides) under Pan troglodytes (chimpanzee). Its description in RNAcentral is "retained intron". The record is from RNAcentral. Lineage: Eukaryota; Metazoa; Chordata; Mammalia; Primates; Hominidae.
GACUCGAGAACAGGAAGAACUGGAAGAAGCUUUAGAAGUGGAACGACAGGAAAAUGAACAAAGAAGAUUAUUUAUACAAAAAGAAGAACAACUGCAGCAGAUUCUAAAAAGGAAGAAUAAGCAGGCUUUUUUAGAUGAGCUGGAGAGUUCUGAUCUCCCUGUUGCUCUGCUUUUGGCUCAGCAUAAAGAUAGAUCUACCCAAUUAGAAAUGCAACUUGAGAAACCCAAACCUGUAAAACCAGUGACGUUUUCCACAGGCAUCAAAAUGGGUCAACAUAUUUCACUGGCACCUAUUCACAAGCUUGAAGAAGCUCUGUAUGAAUACCAGCCACUGCAGAUAGAGACAUAUGGACCACAUGUUCCUGAGCUUGAGAUGCUAGGAAGACUUGGGUAUGUGUCCUAAAGAACUUUACAUUGAGGAGCUGAUAUGUGGGACUUAUUGCUGUUCUUAACUGACAUGUUAACAUUCUUAGAUUUUCAGUUUAUAGAACUUUACUGUUUUGUGAAAAAUGAACAGUACUCAAUACCAAAUUGUUUUAUUUAGUACAUUAAUUUUUCUGUGGACUUGUUAGGUCUCUUGAGAUUGAGCCUGGAAU